AAAAUAAAAAAUAAAAAAUAAAAACCCAACUUUGAAGCUAUUUCAGAAACAAGACAACAUUUUCCUACAUGUAUGUCUGGCAAAACCAGUCAUAACCAAUGUCCAGUGCAAGUUAUUUUGGGAUUUAGCAUAGACGGGGAAGGUGAUAAAUAAAGGCUUCAGAACAAAGCAGCGGGGAAGAUCAGUUCACCACCAACAUUACAUUACCUGAAGAGCACAUUUGUUUCACCUGUCUACUUUAUAAGAAGUAGAAGCUGUCGGGCAAAUCCAUGAAUUGAGAAGCCUUCCUUCAAAAAAAUAAACGUUCUUUCAGGCUCCAGCUUGCAGUCUUUGUUUCAAACCAAUGCAAAAACAGUUUCUUCAGUUCCUUUCCAUGCUCAAGGUUUUUUCCCCCCUCUUAUUGUGUAAUCCCGGGAACUUGAGGGAUGGCAGGUUUUGGCUUCUUUAUUUUUUCCGCCAGUAUGGCUUGAGUUGUUAGAAUUAAUCCAGCAAUUGAGGCAGCACUUUGAAGUGCACACCGCGAAACCCUGCAAGGAUCUACCACCCCUGCAUCCAAAAGAUCUUCAUAUUCACCAGUCAUUGCAUUGAAACCAUUUCUCCAAUCAGAAGUCCGAAUUCUUUCCACCACAACUGCUCCAUCAACCCCAGCAUUAGAUGCAAUUGCUUUUGCAGGUGCAAGAAGUGCCUUUGCCACAAUGUCCGCACCAACCUGCAUGUUUAUAUCUUCCAUGGAAUCUUGUAUGGCAGAAAUAUGCUCUGAGAGAUGUACAUAUGCAGCACCACCACCAGGUACAAUCCCUUCUGCCAUGGCAGCAUAUGUUGCAUUCUUUGCAUCCUCAAUCCUUAGUUUCCGAUCUUCAAAUUCUGCUUCUGUGUGUGCUCCUACCUUAAUUACAGCCACACCACCAGACAAUUUAGCAAUUCUUUCUAAGAGUUUCCUUGACAGGUAUGCAUUAUCUGUUUCCGAAAGAUCCUUCUUCAUCUGCAGAAUUCUUGCCUGAAUUUCAGCCUUAGUUGAAGGGUCAGCAACUAUGGUUGUUGAAUUACUUGUUAUGGUAACUUUCUGUGCUACACCAAGUUGAUCUGAGGUUGCAUCUAGGAGAGUCAGACCAAAAUCUCCAGAAAGAAAAUCAGCACCUGUCAUAAGAGCAAUGUCCUGCAAUAAAGCUUUUUUCGCUUCUCCAUAUCCUGGGCAUUUGACAACAGCAACAUUCAAUAAACCUUGCAUUUUGUUCACCACCAGCGUUUCCAAUACCUGCUUUGAGAUAUCCUCAGCAAAGAUUAACAGUGGCACACUUAGCUGCAUAGCCUUUUCUAACAAAGGGAUAAUUUCUUUGACAGUUGCAAUCCUUUGAUCAGUUACUAGUAUUCUGGCAUUGUCAAACUGUACAAGAGACUUUUCCUGGUUUGUUAUGAACUGGGAUGACAUGUAACCCUUGUCAAUCUUAAUUCCUUCUUCUAUGAUGACAUAGGUUUCAGAGGUCGAAGAUGACUCAAUAGAGAUUACUCCAUCAUAGCCAAUCUUGUCUAUAGUCUCAGCAAUUAAGUUCCCAACAUAUUCAUCAUUCCCAGCAGAAAUUGAAGCAACAGCUUUUAUAUUAUCCCUUCCUCUUAUCGGAACACUUUGCUCCUUCAAGAUUUCAACUAAGUUUUUUACAGUUGUAUCCAUUCCUUUCUUCAAAGAAACAGGGUUGGCCCCAAAAGUGACUGCUAACAAGCCAAUUUUGAUCAUUUCACGAGCCAAAAUGAUUGCAGUGGUUGUACCAUCACCAGCCAAAUCAUUCAUUUUACUUGCAACCAUGAAUGACCUCUUGGAUUAGCAUUGCUCCAGCAUUCUCCAUUGCAUCCGAAAGCUCUAUGGCUCGAGCUAUUGUAACACCAUCAUUGACUACUUUUAAUGUCUUAGAAUCAGAAAGAACAACAUUGCGACCUUUAGGUCCUAAGGUGAGAGAAACAGCAUCAGCAAGUUUAUCAAUUCCAGCCUGCAAGGCUCCUCUACAUUCUUUGCCAAAAGAUAUCUUCCUCGGGCCUGCCCUCACAACAAAUCUAUGAGGAUUUCUCCAUAAUCCACUGACCCUUGUUUUCCCAACAAGUUCAGAGAAGAGGGGAUUGUUGGGGAAGAUACAUGGCCUGGAGAUGAAGACGAAAGGCAUACUAUACUCUGUUUUCGAGCAAAGUAGCGGCGUUGAGAACUUUUCAAAGAUUUUUAGACGUUAAAUGGUUCAUCCAACACAGUUGCCAGUGCCACUAUGCGAGUCUCCCGUAGCCCAGCUGUUUUCACCUAAUCAGUUCAGCCCUAAAUCGGAGUACGUUUGGAGGAAGUUUUGGAAGGUAAAAG
Molecule: unclassified non-coding RNA, 2338 nt
Filed under: Hevea brasiliensis (rubber tree)
Lineage: Eukaryota; Viridiplantae; Streptophyta; Magnoliopsida; Malpighiales; Euphorbiaceae
Source: RNAcentral